GCCCGCCCCGGCCGCUGCAGCCUUCCAGGCCGCCAGGACGCACUGCGCAGGCAAAGCCGCCCGAGGGCUCCCGCACCCCGCCCUCGGUGCAGCCGCCGCUUGGCGGGCCUGGGCCGCACGUAGAAGGACGUGGAGCUGCCGUCCUCCUUCGCGAACAGAGUUGAGGAAUGGUUGGGCCCGUUGGGGUUUUUGCCCAAAUCCAUCGCUUCCACCGUGUCUUACGCCGGGCACCAGAGGAGCCGCCCCCUCCCGAGCACCUAGCACGCAGAGAGCGACUGAUUGAGCCACUACUAAUUUUUAGAAAGAAAAUAACCCUCUUAUUUGUGACAACAUGGAUGAAUCUGGAGAAUAUUAUGCUAAAUGAAAGAAGCCAGAUGUGUCACUGGUGACCACAUUCCUACUCCACAGGAUCUUCCUCAACGGAAACCAUCUCCUGUUGCUAGCAAGCUGGCCAGCUGAUUAAAAGAGCUGAACUGCAUGAAUCUGCUAAUUCCCAUGAUUUCUCCUUAAUAUGUUACUUACCUACUUUUUAUUUUCUUUCAUUCACUAAGUCAUUUGAGACUGACAGCUUUGCAGGUAGCAGUAGUGUGUGCUUCUAUUGUGGAAUAUACUUGUGUAGAGUUUUUGAUUCGUUUAACAGUGCACUGGUGAAGAGGAUGUGUUAGAGCAACAUUAGUAAACUACUUGAAAAUAAUUGUUUGUAUUAUCUAACUCCAAGUGUAGUACUGGUUCAAACAAGUAACCAGCAAGUUUUAAAAUUUUAAUGUUUUGGCUUUCAUUACUUCAUCUUAAUUACAGCUUUGUAUGUUACUCUUAUUUAAUAUAAUCUCUAUUGUAUUGAUUUC
This is a non-coding RNA of Macaca mulatta (Rhesus monkey), 845 nucleotides long. The record is from RefSeq and is a predicted model, not a curated record. Lineage: Eukaryota; Metazoa; Chordata; Mammalia; Primates; Cercopithecidae.